Columba livia (rock pigeon) is the source of this 8481-nucleotide long non-coding RNA. RefSeq lists it as uncharacterized. Lineage: Eukaryota; Metazoa; Chordata; Aves; Columbiformes; Columbidae. The transcript is spliced from 3 exons. The record is from RefSeq and is a predicted model, not a curated record.
UGAAGCAGGAUGACCUGGGCAUGCGUAUCUGCAAAGGACAAGGUGAGAAUUAGCCAAAUAGUGGUUGGUUGGAAGAGGAAUCUGCAAACAAUAUCAGACAUGCCACAGUUACUCACAGAAAUUAAGAAGAAAACGAGAACACUCUAAAGAAAGGAUUAAAGAACUGAUUAGGAGCUAAAAGAGAAAAGUUUGGUCAACACAAUAAUAAGAAGAAAAAAGUUCAGAUUUCAGAGAAAAUGCAGACAAUUAGUAUGUCCCACCAGGCAGCUGGUCUGAGCAAAACCAGCACGGUGUAAAGCAGCAGCAGUGGGUCCGUCCUGCAAGACUUUAAUGCACACCGGCUCCUGAAUUCACAUAAUGGGCAACCUUAAAAAUGCAGUCUGUCUGAUUCUCUACAGUAUGGAUAAUUAUUCUAAGGAAACCUCUGGGAGAGGAAUAUUUUGAAGUUAAAACAAGAUUAGGACAUCUGGAAAAUAAUCUGUUCAUAAACACAUAGUGAGAGAAACAUCAUAGUACAAAACAUCCCCUAGACAGACAGCACGGUCUUAAAAGAAUCAAGAACAAGACAAGAGGAAAAACGACAGCGGAGAGGAAUCCAUUGGUAUGGUGGGUGACCCUGGACAGAACAGGGUCAGAUCAUCCCAAACAGCCUUUGGGACCACAUUUAGUUAUGUCAGCAGAAGUAAAACCUGUCAACAUGUAACUCUGAAAAAUGAGAUCUUUUAUUUACCCAGAGCCAGCCUGUGUUAGCAGUGGAGUUUCAAGCUUUCUCAAAUUAUAUGCCAGCCUGCCUCAGCCCUGACCUGAAAGAAUCAGCUUCGGAGGUGAAGAUGGUGUUUAUUCACCAGGGUACCGCUACAAGGCUUUGCGCCGAGGCUGUGACCGACAAACCAGCGCUGGUGCUGGCGGUGUUUGUCACGGAGCCGGCUGCCUGCGGGGAGCAGGACUGAGCCCAGCACCUCAUUCCACAGAGGUCAGAGAGGAGCUGACAAGUGGUAAUAACUUUCGGUCCCUACAGAUGUGUGCCAUGGUUGAGCCAGUAACCUGCUGCUUUCUGUGUAAGGCUCAAUAUCUUAUUAUGGGUCCUUUUGCCGUCCCAUUUUAGCCAAUCUUAAAGUUUUCUAAAUGAACAUUAGAAUCACAGAAUCAUUUCAGAGACCUUCAGGAUCACCAAGUCCAACCAUAACCUAACUCUAGCACUAAUCCAUGUCCCUAAGAACCUCGUCUAAAUGCCUUUUAAACCCCUCCAGGGAUGGUGACUCCACCGCUGCCCUGGGCAGCCUGUUCCAAUGCCCCGCAGCCCUUUCCAUGAAGAAUUUUUUCCUUCAUUGUAUACCAUACUCAAUAAUGUCUCAUUUGAAAUGCUGCACUUCUGGGUUGUUUGUGUUCCUCGUUUUUUCUCAUUUAGCACACAAGAUCUAUGAUCUCUGUACUUCCCUCAGCCAUAAACCCUUAGCAGAGAGAAAGGACUCAAGAGCUUGCACUUAACCUGCAAAGCCCUAGUGCAAUGUGUCAUGGUAGGUUUAAGUUUAGCACUGAAAGAGGCGCACUUUAGCAUAAUUACCCUGCCUAUAGCAGCACAAUAAACUAUGGAAUUAUUGCUGCACUGUGAGUGCAUCCUAAGGGAGAAGUAAAUACCCUGUGGUCUGGAUCUGAUAAACUACUAACUGUAGCAGAAUGUAAUUAGUCCUUUCAAUAACAAAUGUUACUAAUGGUGACACUUCAUCUGUUUCAUGCACAUAUAAAUGCAUAACAGAGGCAGAAUUUUCAUAGUUCUUUAGCUUCCCCCCCUUCAUCUUGCACUUUGUCAUCAGAAGGGUUAGGGUUGAGUUCUUUUUAAUGAAAAAGAAAUUAUUUUUCACUUUUUAUUGGACUAAUUGAAUUUGCAGAAAGACUCCAAUACAUUUUUUGUUCUUGAUAUAUUAUGAAGUAAAGUCAUACAGCAGAAUGGAUGAAAAGACAUUCGAGUAUUUGAAAUAUGAUCAUAAAAGCCAGCCUUUCAUGCACUUAAUUAAACUGCUGUCUUUAAUUUUGAAUGCGUUAUUUCCACAAUGGACUGAUAAUGUCUUAUGCACUGCCCUUCUUAUCACUCUCUGAAGUCAGUGAUAUUAAAAUCUGCCUUUUGAAAUUAAGAAGCCAACAGCAUUAUGAAUGUACUGUUAUUUUGUCAAACGCAGAUAUGGCUGCAUUUUCUCUGCCAUGCUAAUGUUUCACUGUCUUUGUGUGGCUUAUGGGCCAGUCAACUAUUAUGCACAGAUAGAGAAAAAGGAAAUUGCUUCUGUCCAUUUCAAUGACUUAUUCUCUGCUUGGUUUAUUUAUAAUGAUUUCAACAAAAUCUUUUGGUGAUCUAUGAAGACCUCCAAAAGAAAAAUAAGCAAAUGUCAAGGUCAUAAACUGAAGCUUGUUAACACUUAUGUCAUAAAAAAUACAACGAAAAAUAAAUCAAGGAAAAAUGGUCACAACAUGUCCAUUGGGAAUAUAUGACUUUUAUAAAUUUGACAGUACUAUGCCUUUGAAAUAAUCCCCAAAUCCCAUGAUCUCCAGACAGCUUUGGUUUCAAAAUGAAAGAUUUCCAUAGCAUAUUUUAAUUCUGAAAUAAAACUUCUCUUCAUUUGUAUAUUAAAACCUUGCAGCUGAAAGCAGAGUUAAUGUGCAAACCAAGACAUAAGGGGUUCUGUCCGACAGCCCCUGGGAACAGCUUUUCAAAGAGCUCAGCUCCCAUUUUUGUCACUGAGCUGAACUGGCCAUUCCUCUGGAGGCUGAACACUUUAAACACUUACGUGCCCUUAGAGCCAUUUGGGAUAGAGAGAAUUUCAAAUUCCUGCUAAGGCUCCCACAAGUGGCGUAGCUGUGAAUAUACUAUGACAAACAUAUGAAUGAAACAACAUUAUUCACGUGUGUAAAUGUUACUAAACUGGAGACUGUACAAUGGCUAAUUUCAUACUGAAAGUGAAGCUUGUUAUGUAAUCUUGAUUUUAAUGAUCUAGGCCAGGACUAAGAACCUUAACAAGUGAUCUUCAAUGACAGCAAAAUGCAAGUAAGAGCCUUCGAGUUAGUUAAGGUUUGUGGGACUGUGAUUUUGAUUAGCAACACUAAAAAAGUACAGAUUCAUCUUAGAACAUUCUGCAAUCAAAAAUGUAUGACACACGUCUUUGAAUUGGAUCAGGAUGGGUAAUGUCUUUGGUUUUUGGCAUUAGACUGCAUACAAAGCCUCUAAUAGUAGUCUUGAGUUAGGCAAUAAGCUGCUGUAUACUUGGAUUUUAAGGAAAAUGCAGAAUCAUAUUAGAAUUAUUAGUGUAAAGUCUUAAAUUAUAAGCCCCCUGUAGAAACACACGGCCAAGAAAUUUGAAAAUUGGCAUUCAGUUUAGGUCUAAAAAGGUCCCAUAGGAACCAUGAUGGCAUUUAGACAUCUAACUACUCAAAUGAGACUGCCAAUCAGGUAGCUAUUUUCUUAAAAGGUACCAAUUACACACAGUGAUGGCCAUGGACUAAGAUGAUAUUUCUCUUAAGUAUCAAGACUCGCAUAAAAUGGCAUGUCUAAAAAGCAAUCAUAGGGUUGAAUGGCUGAUGAUGCAUUUAAUCUGAGCAUAACACUUUUAUGGACAUGAAGAGCUAUCUCAUGUUCCACUUUCUAGUUUUCCCACAGAAAUGUGAUGUUGUUGUGUACAGAUUUCUAAUAUGGCUGAACUCCUCUCCAUGAAAUUAAAGACAGUGUCUGGACUGCUUUGAAACUAAAUUAAGAUUGGAUUCUGUCAAUAUUUAUCGAAUUUCCAAAGAAGAAAACCCAACCAUUCUAGAGAAUCCAGCUGCCACACGGGUCUCAGCCGCAGUAUUGCUGGAAGCCAGAACAGAUUUUAGGAAGAAUGGAGCAUGUACUGUCACUUUUCACAUGCUCGUUAUAAAUGGCAAGAAGACUUCUGUACUCAUUUCUUCUAAUUAAAUUAAACUUCCAGCACCAUCAAAUUAAUACAUAUUAUCUAUGCCCUUCUAUGCCAUGAUGCAGAAAUUACAAGGCUAUUUAAUUCCUAGAGCAAGCACUAGGAUAUCCAUUGCCAUACAGAUUUCCUCUCAAGCUGACAGAGAGGAAUUUAAUUUAUUUUAAAUUUUACUAGAAUAUGUAUGGUUUACCAUUUAGCAGCAGUUUUUAUUCCACUUGCACAUUCACUUAUGUAACACAUAAAGCUCAAUUCCAACUUUUUUUUUUCUCCCUCUUGCACUCUUUUUGCUGGCUAACAAAGAUACACAGAUACAAAAUGAGUGACCAAUUAUAGUCAGAACUAUUUUUCUUCAUAUUUGAGCAGGAUAAAAAGCCUUUCAGAAUGUGGGUUUGCUAAUUUCUGGCAUAAUUACCUUUCCUCUGAACCAUCAUGAAUAAAGCCUUAUCUCUUAAAAUUUCUAUAAAGUCCAUUUGAACCACAGACAUAUCAAGGUCAGUUUGGAACUGCAAUGAUGCCAACAGAAUUUCCUCUAUCAUACUCUCAUGUAACUUUACUUUAAAAUGUGCCCAUGAUCAAUUUGGAUAAGGACUUUUCACCAGUUUCUCUGUUUCCAGCUUCAUAGUUGCCCGAAGGAGAAUACAGCAAGAAAGAAGGAAAAUAAAGAGUAAAAAGAGCAUUGUAGAAGUUCCCAAAUUGUUUGGAGGGAGCUGUGCAGCCAGACUGCUGUACAUUGUACAUGUUAUCUCUUGAAAUUACUACACUUUAAAUAUGGACUGUGAGAAAUAAUGUUUUGUGCUUUCUAAUGAUACUGUUAUGAAAAUCUGAACACCAAUUUCUGUCUCCUCCCUCAUGUUUUUUGUUGGUUUUAUUUUUUUUCUCCCUCCAUAUGCUAUUUUCCUAAUCAGAAAUUGUGCACACAAGGUGAUUUGGCAGCAGGUCCCCUCCCUGCAGGCAGAAAUCGCAUCCAGACGUGUAUUCCAGGCUGAACUGUGGUGAUGGUUCAACUAAAGUAAAUGGAACCAGUGGAGGAGGAAGAUACCAAGAUUUGGGUGUGCUGCUCAGAAUCUGACAUAUUUGAAAACUUGGCUCGUAAAUACCACAUGCUGACAUUUGGUAUAAAAGAGGUCUCAAAUUUCCCAUGAGCUGAAAUUUCCUGUGCAUUUGCUGUAUGUUCUGGCAUAUAGAUAUUUUUCAAAAUUUAUAGAAUAGUCUUUAAAAGUUGCAAUCCUUCAUUCAUUCACUCAAAUAAUAUAUGCAGAUCCUAUUUUUGAGUAAUUACAUUUUAAAAGAGCACAGCUCUUUCAGCAUAUCAAAUUGCUACUGACAUAUGCCAUCCGUCUUAAAUACUGUUUUCACUAUUCUAAUUUCUUUUUCUAAUCGUGAAUCCGUGAUGACAAAUUAAAACAAUAUUUUAUGUGCAAUUCAUAUUUUACUGAAAUUUAAAAUGGCAAGAAAAGGAUGAGUAUUCCAUUUAUUUGCUCUUCUCAAUUAAUAGAGUAAUUAAGAUAAGGGGUAUAAAACUGGCUUAAUUGGGUUGCCAUAGCAACUAAUUGUCUGGUUUCUUCAAAAAUAGCAUGUUUUAGGUGGAAUCAAUCUGUGGUAAUUUAAUUAUGUACAUCAUGGAGCAAGAAGACAGGUUAGAUACAUGUAAGAAAAAGUUCUAAUUGCAAAUUGUUACAUAUCUCUGUUACUCCAGUUUUUAGUAGAUGUCUGUUACUGCUCAUUAUGCAUAGUACAGAAAGGGAGCUUUUUUUUUUAAUGAUUAGAAGUAUCGAGACUUGCACAAUAAAUGAGAUUCAGAAUUGUUUGGGUGUAGUUCAGCUGGUCCUUAGAAAUGAGGGAAAAGGCGAAAAUUAGGCCCUGACUCACUUCUUCCUCAUUUUGCUUUGCACGUGCAACAAGGAAACUGAAAUAGUGCUGCUCAGUGAGCCAAUUUAUACACAUGCAACUGGCCACAGUCAUAGAAACAAUAGCCAAGUUUGGGGUUUUUUUGUGUUUUUUUUUUAACUGGCCAGCGUAGCUCAGGGCAAACACUGAAAUCACACCAAUCCUCCACAUCUCUUAACCUCUACCUUGCUCAAAUCCAUUUCCUCCGUUAAAGGAGGGCUCUGCUCCUGAACCUUAUUGCCACGGCUUGGCCUCCUGGCUGCGCCCUGGGACGGCUGCCGUGCCACCGCUUGUGAUGUCAGACAUGGGACGUGAUGUCAUUGUGGCAGUUACACUUCCCCCCGCUCUGAGAACAGCUGUGGCAGUUGUACAUCCCCCUCUCCUUCAAUGGGGCAUUUAAUGGCUCUUUUGUGGGACCCGGAGUCAGUUGGACAGGGUCAUUAGCAGAGGAGGAGGGGCCCAGAGAAGCUUCUGGAAUGCCCGCAGCCAGAUCUGAUCAGACUGUAAAACUGCGUUCCUGCCGAAGAUUCCCUUUGUGUGGUCUUCUCGGAGCAGUGGGUCUGCUGAGCCAGAGCCCUCCCCUUAGACUGGGAUGCCAUCUAAGGAAACUUCCUGGGAUUGGAAGCUCCUCACCUCCUCAUUUGGGUGAGUGACAAUUUAAGUCCUUGCCGAACCAGGCAAGUGUGGUAUUCUGGAGUCAGACGGUUCUGGCUUUGUUUCUUGUGAGUGUGUGCAUGCACACUUUGGGUCCUCAUUAUUUUCAUUUGCCGCACCCCAAUAAUCUCCUCCACUGUCAUCCAAACCUUUAUCUUACGUUACCGGAGUGCUAAUUAAUUGUAUAAACCCUGUUCUGGUCAAUUUAUCAGCUGUACUUUUCCAGCCAGAAUAAAGUCUGGUUUGGAACUUGUUUUGCCGCCUGACUUUGGGGUCCCUCUGUGACAGUCAUCUAGGGAGCGAACCACUUUCCGAAAAGAAAAUGGUUGUUUCCACUGACGCAGUAUUGCUGUAAGAAACAGUGUUUCCUGGGAUUUAGUAUUUUCAAAGAUAGACCAGUCAAAAUUUUGAACCCUUAACUCCAUCUCUGAGUCUUAACAUCUGGAAAAGAUGCCACAGUUUUAAUGACAUUUCUCCUCCCCUAUGGUUAAUGUAGCAGAAGUACUUAUAUUCCCAAUUUUUGUCUGAGCAGUUCCCUGGUGAUGACAACAGGACAGGAGAAGGCGACACUGGACGAGGGUGUUUGUCUCAGCAGAGAACAUCACCCCCAGCUUUGUGUGGGUGGCACCCCCAGGGUGGCGUGAGAAAAGUGACAUUGAUAACUGCAUUUAACCAAUCUGCAAGGCUGGGAAUUAGUGUUUCAUCACUUAUCACCAGCAGCUGACGUACUUGAACAGCACAGGUGGUUUCACCACGUCUCAGGGACACAAAGGUAACCAAAGUUUUCUGCUAAAGAGACAGAAAAGUUACACAGUGGGGACAUUAACUAUGGUAUCAGGCCCUUCUGAAACAACAUGAAUCAUUGUUACAUAACUAAGGUAAAAUCUGGAUGUUUUAUAAUUAAUCCCUCUUAAAGUGAAGGGACAAACCAAUUUUGUUUUUUUAAGAUUUCACACAUUUUCCAGAUAUUUUUUAGCUUCAUCCCCAAAAUGGUCGUUUUUCUCCUCUCUUCCUUUUUCUAAAUUGUGACUUAAACUCUCAGAAUACAGGGGAAAAAAGACCAUUCCUGGAGAGUUUUUCGCAUGACUGACCUUACAAGAAAAACAUACAGGUGUUCUGCUUUACAAUAGUCAUCCCAAAACUCCAGUGUAUAAUAGAAUCUGUAGGAUGACACUACAACAUUAUCAUGCUACAAAUCUCCUGGAAGGUCUUUUCCAAGCAGAUUUCUCAAACUCAAAUAUUUCUUGUCUGUAUUUUACAUAUGUGUUUUUACAGAUAUACUCCCAAUAACUGCCCUAUAUGCUUGUGAUAUUGCAUUGUUUUUAGUGAUUAGCAUGCUAAAUUCAGGAAAUAAAACUGUCACCAUUAUUGUCACUUUUGUUAAUUGAAUAAAACCUCUGAUGUUUUCCAGGUCUGUAUAAACCUGACUUUGUCCCAUUAUGAGCUCAUUCUCAGAUUAAACACAGUUCGUGACACUUUAAUAUGUUAACUCUGCUUCAUGAUAUUUCCAACCAAUGUUUAAUUUCUUCUUUAAUAGACCAGAGACUCUAUGUCCACACAAGUCUUUAAUAAAAAGAGUUUUCAAAUUCUAAAGACACUACCUUGACCUUUACUGAAAUCAAAAGUACAGAGAAAAUUAGGAUAUUCAUUCCAAAAAGUCCUUUUCAAAGUGAAAUUUCCCUCAAUAAAAGGUGAAACUUUAUUAUCCAUAAAAUUAAUACUGUGUCUAUCAAAUUUGCUCUUGCACAUUGUUUCAGCAGAACCUGUUUAGAUCGGAAGUAACACAAUUCAUACUUAACUACCUUUCUCUGCAGUUAAUUUGAUAAUGCUGAGAAACAAUACCAUGAAGUUAAAAAAGAACAUCAUGAACAACUAAAUUAUUUCCUGCAGUGGAAUGACUUCAUUUUCUAUGGUCCAUUCAUGAUUACUGUCCUACUGGUAAAGAAUAAUUUUGUGAUUUACUGAAAAAAGAUAAAGAUGUGAUGGAUUUAUAUAAAGAACU